CUUAACGUUCCUUUUUACGCAGCAUCACGCUGGGCGUUGGCUGCUCUAGUUCACAACUCGUGGGCAUAUCAACAUGAUAGCUGUCAGCGUUGCAAGGAACUGGCUGCACCCCUAGCAAUUUGCAUUCCGUACAACAUGAACGGGAAGUGGCCAUAAGCAGCCGGAAGAGUGGAGACAAAGCAUAAUGCAACGCAUCGGUAUAGAAG
This 206-nucleotide unclassified non-coding RNA is filed under the name Hevea brasiliensis (rubber tree). Lineage: Eukaryota; Viridiplantae; Streptophyta; Magnoliopsida; Malpighiales; Euphorbiaceae. The record is from RNAcentral.